This 108-nucleotide small nuclear RNA is filed under the name Propithecus coquereli (Coquerel's sifaka). The record is from RNAcentral. Lineage: Eukaryota; Metazoa; Chordata; Mammalia; Primates; Indriidae.
CUGCUUGCUUCGGCAGCACAUAUACUAAUAUUGGAACGAUACAGAGAAGAUUAGCACGGCCCCUGCGCAAGGAUGACACACAAAUUUUGUGAAGUGUCCCAUAAUAAA